AUUGAACGCUGGCGGCAUGCCUUACACAUGCAAGUCGAACGGAAACGGGCCUUUUGUUGCCGACGAGUGGCGAACGGGUGGGUAAUACAUCGGAACGUACCCGAUCGUGGGGGAUAACGAGGCUAAAGCUUUGCUAAUACCGCAUACGAUCUAAGGACGGAAGCAGGGGACCGCAAGGCCUUGCGCGGGCGGAGCGGCCGGUGGCAGAUUAGGUAGUUGUUGGGAUAAAAGCGUUCCCAGCCGACGAUCUGUAGCUGGUCUGAGAGGAUGAUCAGCCACACUGGGACUGAGACACGGCCCAGACUCCUACGGGAGGCAGCAGUGGGGAAUGUUAGACAAUGGGCGCAAGCCUGGUCCAGCCAUGCCGCGUGCAGGAUGAAGGCCUUCGGGUUGUAAACUGCUUUUGUACGGAACGAAAAGCCUUCGUUUAAUACAGGAGGGUCAUGACGGUACCGUAAGAAUAAGCACCGGCUAACUACGUG
This 482-nucleotide ribosomal RNA is filed under the name uncultured bacterium. RNAcentral's name for it is "partial 16S ribosomal RNA". It matches the Rfam family "Bacterial small subunit ribosomal RNA", at positions 30 to 507 of the family's 1533-position model. The record is from RNAcentral.